CAUGCAAGUCGAGCGGAAACGAGUUAUCUGAACCUUCGGGGAACGAUAACGGCGUCGAGCGGCGGACGGGUGAGUAAUGCCUAGGAAAUUGCCCUGAUGUGGGGGAUAACCAUUGGAAACGAUGGCUAAUACCGCAUAAUGCCUACGGGCCAAAGAGGGGGACCUUCGGGCCUCUCGCGUCAGGAUAUGCCUAGGUGGGAUUAGCUAGUUGGUGAGGUAAUGGCUCACCAAGGCGACGAUCCCUAGCUGGUCUGAGAGGAUGAUCAGCCACACUGGAACUGAGACACGGUCCAGACUCCUACGGGAGGCAGCAGUGGGGAAUAUUGCACAAUGGGCGCAAGCCUGAUGCAGCCAUGCCGCGUGUGUGAAGAAGGCCUUCGGGUUGUAAAGCACUUUCAGUCGUGAGGAAGGUNGUGUAGUUAAUAGCUGCAUUAUUUGACGUUAGCGACAGAAGAAGCACCGGCUAACUCCGUGCCAGCAGCCGCGGUAAUACGGAGGGUGCGAGCGUUAAUCGGAAUUACUGGGCGUAAAGCGCAUGCAGGUGGUUUGUUAAGUCAGAUGUGAAAGCCCGGGGCUCAACCUCGGAAUAGCAUUUGAAACUGGCAGACUAGAGUACUGUAGAGGGGGGUAGAAUUUCAGGUGUAGCGGUGAAAUGCGUAGAGAUCUGAAGGAAUACCGGUGGCGAAGGCGGCCCCCUGGACAGAUACUGACACUCAGAUGCGAAAGCGUGGGGAGCAAACAGGAUUAGAUACCCUGGUAGUCCACGCCGUAAACGAUGUCUACUUGGAGGUUGUGGCCUUGAGCCGUGGCUUUCGGAGCUAACGCGUUAAGUAGACCGCCUGGGGAGUACGGUCGCAAGAUUAAAACUCAAAUGAAUUGACGGGGGCCCGCACAAGCGGUGGAGCAUGUGGUUUAAUUCGAUGCAACGCGAAGAACCUUACCUACUCUUGACAUCCAGAGAACUUUCCAGAGAUGGAUUGGUGCCUUCGGGAACUCUGAGACAGGUGCUGCAUGGCUGUCGUCAGCUCGUGUUGUGAAAUGUUGGGUUAAGUCCCGCAACGAGCGCAACCCUUAUCCUUGUUUGCCAGCGAGUAAUGUCGGGAACUCCAGGGAGACUGCCGGUGAUAAACCGGAGGAAGGUGGGGACGACGUCAAGUCAUCAUGGCCCUUACGAGUAGGGCUACACACGUGCUACAAUGGCGCAUACAGAGGGCAGCAAGCUAGCGAUAGUGAGCGAAUCCCAAAAAGUGCGUCGUAGUCCGGAUUGGAGUCUGCAACUCGACUCCAUGAAGUCGGAAUCGCUAGUAAUCGUGGAUCAGAAUGCCACGGUGAAUACGUUCCCGGGCCUUGUACACACCGCCCGUCACACCAUGGGAGUGGGCUGCAAAAGAAGUAGGUAGUUUAACCUUCGGGAGGACGCU
This 1421-nucleotide ribosomal RNA is filed under the name Vibrio owensii. Its description in RNAcentral is "bacterial SSU rRNA". It matches the Rfam family "Bacterial small subunit ribosomal RNA". Lineage: Bacteria; Pseudomonadati; Pseudomonadota; Gammaproteobacteria; Vibrionales; Vibrionaceae. The record is from RNAcentral. RNAcentral also lists the same sequence under 1 other name.